RNAcentral lists this long non-coding RNA (223 nucleotides) under Gossypium barbadense (sea-island cotton). Its description in RNAcentral is "long non-coding RNA (GBAR_LNC011219)". Lineage: Eukaryota; Viridiplantae; Streptophyta; Magnoliopsida; Malvales; Malvaceae. The record is from RNAcentral.
CCAAUUUUGGCCCAUUAAGCCUAAAAAUAUCGAGGGCACAGAAAUCAUGCACUUUGCAGUCCAAAUUUUGCAGCUUACCAAAAACAUUAAUCGAUUUACCUCACGAGCAUUCGCACACUCGCAAAUCUACAAAAUACCGGUUUUCGGCAUUUUGGCUUUUCGACUUUUGCCGAUCCAAACUAAGAAAGAGGGUGUUAGUUACACACCUGUUUGCGACGAUAUG